This 498-nucleotide ribosomal RNA is filed under the name uncultured Flavobacterium sp. RNAcentral's name for it is "bacterial SSU rRNA". It matches the Rfam family "Bacterial small subunit ribosomal RNA", at positions 8 to 507 of the family's 1533-position model. The record is from RNAcentral. Lineage: Bacteria; Pseudomonadati; Bacteroidota; Flavobacteriia; Flavobacteriales; Flavobacteriaceae.
AGAGUUUGAUCCUGGCUCAGGAUGAACGCUAGCGGCAGGCCUAACACAUGCAAGUCGAGGGGUAGAACACUUCGGUGUUUGAGACCGGCGCACGGGUGCGUAACGCGUAUGCAAUCUACCUUGUACAGGGGAAUAGCCCAGAGAAAUUUGGAUUAAUGCCCCAUAGUAUAUAACCUUCGCAUGUUGGUUAUAUUAAAGUUCCAACGGUACAAGAUGAGCAUGCGUCCCAUUAGUUAGUUGGUAAGGUAACGGCUUACCAAGACGAUGAUGGGUAGGGGUCCUGAGAGGGAGAUCCCCCACACUGGUACUGAGACACGGACCAGACUCCUACGGGAGGCAGCAGUGAGGAAUAUUGGUCAAUGGUCGCAAGACUGAACCAGCCAUGCCGCGUGCAGGAAGACGGUCCUAUGGAUUGUAAACUGCUUUUAUACAGGAAGAAACCCUCCCACGUGUGGGAGCUUGACGGUACUGUAGGAAUAAGGAUCGGCUAACUCCGUG